GGCGGGCUGCGCGGUUCGACAGGGAUGACAUUUCCCCGGGGCCUUAUCGAUCUCCAGGGAGCUGUCCCUGUUCCGGUCCGUGGGCCGGAGCACAUGGCGCCCACCUACUUUGUAGGUUCCCGGGAUCGACUUUCCCAUCGGCCGUCGUGGCUCGCCA
Molecule: non-coding RNA, 157 nt
Filed under: Antarcticirhabdus aurantiaca
Lineage: Bacteria; Pseudomonadati; Pseudomonadota; Alphaproteobacteria; Hyphomicrobiales; Aurantimonadaceae
Description: 6S RNA
Rfam family: 6S / SsrS RNA
About the family: E. coli 6S RNA was the first non coding RNA to be sequenced, but its function was unknown until recently.
Source: RNAcentral